This 939-nucleotide long non-coding RNA is filed under the name Polistes fuscatus (common paper wasp). RNAcentral describes it as "uncharacterized LOC122526745". Lineage: Eukaryota; Metazoa; Arthropoda; Insecta; Hymenoptera; Vespidae. The record is from RNAcentral.
AAUGUGUUUGGAUUACGAAUACAAUAUAUUCGUUUAUCAAAUAGCAGUAAUAGCAGUAAUAGCAAUAAUUAGUAAGCAAGAAAUGAAGGAGAUAAAGAACUUAAUUACCUACGUCCGUUCAGGAGACACUAAACACCGCUUAUAAUUAAUUAUUAAACUAAUUUAUCACUAAUUAAUAAAUAUUUUUACAAAUGAAGCUACUUAUCGAAUUACAGCGAGUUAAAUGAAAUUAUCGAUUGACCUUUUAAGCGUUUUGACGCAUAUAUUUGUUCUCACAUAAACAUUCAAUUUAGGCUAGUUAGGCAUAUGUGGGAUCUGACAAAACCAUUUUAUUUUCAUUUUGCAAUGAAAAUUCAGUUUGCUUAACUUGCGCUUUUUCGUAAAAAAUACGCAGCUCCAAGUGUGCUUUUUUGUAAAGAGUGGGCAGUCAACGGCGCACGUUUAACGUCGGACUACGCAGCGCUCAAAGGUUUAAGCAAAAUGUUGUCAAGCUACUUAUACUUUUUAGUUUAGGAAAUGAUUAUAAAAGUCGACUAAACCACACGCUUAGACGAUCUAAGAAAAGUUAAACAAUAAAAGCUAAGAAAACGGUAAAUUUGUACAUCGUGAAAUCAUUUUAAAUUAGCUGUAAGAAAUACGCGAAAUAAGCAGCAAGUCGUUUAGAAUUUUUGGUAGGCCUCGGCGAAAAAAGCAUUGAGCGUAAAGGAUUCAAAUGCAGUCAAAUGGUUCGUAUUACUUAAUUCUCAUUAUAGUAUUCUGAGAUAUUUUUUUUCUAGUAUCUAUGUGUUCAGAUACUUUGAAAUCUUAAGUAUCAAUAGCUAUUAAUUUUCUAUAUCGUAUGCUAUUAUAGGAUAGUAUAAUCUUAUGGUGUUUAUUUGUUCACGUCUAUUAGCAUUAAGAAGACAAAUAAAUAAUUCAGAAUAAAUUGUUUGAUGUCAA